GAUGAAGAACGUAGCGAAAUGCGAUAAGUAAUGUGAAUUGCAGAAUUCAGUGAAUCAUCGAAUCUUUGAACGCACAUUGCGCCCGCCAGUAUUCUGGCGGGCAUGCCUGUUCGAGCGUCAUUUCAACCAUCAAGCCCCCGGCUUGUGUUGGGGACCUGCGGCUGCCGCAGGCCCUGAAAACCAGUGGCGGGCUCGCUAGUCACUCCGAGCGUAGUAAUACAUCUCGCUCAGGGCGUGCUGCGGGUUCCGGCCGUCAAAAAAGCCUUAUUUACCCAAGGUUGACCUCGGAUCAGGUAGGAAGACCCGCUGAACUUAAGCAUAUCAAUAAGCGGAGGA
RNAcentral lists this unclassified non-coding RNA (336 nucleotides) under soil metagenome. RNAcentral's name for it is "partial contains 5.8S ribosomal RNA, internal transcribed spacer 2, and large subunit ribosomal RNA". The stretch from base 1 to 120 matches the Rfam family "5.8S ribosomal RNA", at positions 35 to 154 of the family's 154-position model. The record is from RNAcentral.